RNAcentral lists this ribosomal RNA (206 nucleotides) under uncultured bacterium. Its description in RNAcentral is "partial 16S ribosomal RNA". It matches the Rfam family "Bacterial small subunit ribosomal RNA", at positions 568 to 774 of the family's 1533-position model. The record is from RNAcentral.
CGCGUAGGCGGUCAGCACAAGUCAGUUGUGAAAUCUCCGAGCUUAACUCGGAAAGGUCAACUGAUACUGUGCGACUAGAGUGCAGAAGGGGCAACUGGAAUUCUUGGUGUAGCGGUGAAAUGCGUAGAUAUCAAGAGGAACACCUGCGGCGAAGGCGGGUUGCUGGGCUGACACUGAGCUGAGCGCGAAAGCCAGGGGAGCGAACG